UACGUAGGGUGCAAGCGUUAAUCGGAAUACUGGGCGUAAAGCGUGCGCAGGCGGUGAUGUAAGACAGUUGUGAAAUCCCCGGGCUCAACCUGGGAACUGCAUCUGUGACUGCAUCGCUGGAGUACGGUAGAGGGGGAUGGAAUUCCGCGUGUAGCAGUGAAAUGCGUAGAUAUGCGGAGGAACACCGAUGGCGAAGGCAAUCCCCUGGACCUGUACUGACGCUCAUGCA
Molecule: ribosomal RNA, 229 nt
Filed under: uncultured bacterium
Lineage: Bacteria
Description: partial 16S ribosomal RNA
Rfam family: Bacterial small subunit ribosomal RNA
Source: RNAcentral